UACGUAGGUGGCAAGCGUUGUCCGGAUUUACUGGGCGUAAAGGGUGCGCAGGCGGAUAUUUAAGUCAGAUGUGAAAUACCCGGGCUUAACCUGGGUGCUGCAUUUGAAACUGGAUGUCUAGAGUGCAGGAGAGGAAAGUGGAAUUCCUAGUGUAGCGGUGAAAUGCGUAGAGAUUAGGAGGAACACCAGUGGCGAAGGCGACUUACUGGACAGUAACUGACGCUGAGGCACGAAAGCGUGGGGAGCAAACAGG
This 253-nucleotide ribosomal RNA is filed under the name uncultured bacterium. RNAcentral describes it as "partial 16S ribosomal RNA". It matches the Rfam family "Bacterial small subunit ribosomal RNA", at positions 524 to 776 of the family's 1533-position model. The record is from RNAcentral.